AGCUAGUUGGUGGGGUAAGAGCUCACCAAGGCGACGAUCAGUAGCUGGUCUGAGAGGAUGAUCAGCCACAUUGGGACUGAGACACGGCCCAGACUCCUACGGGAGGCAGCAGUGGGGAAUUUUCCGCAAUGGGCGAAAGCCUGACGGAGCAACGCCGCGUGAGGGAUGAAGGCCUCUGGGCUGUAAACCUCUUUUCUCAAGGAAGAAGAUCUGACGGUACUUGAGGAAUAAGCCACGGCUAAUUCCGUGCCAGCAGCCGCGGUAAUACGGGAGUGGCAAGCGUUAUCCGGAAUCAUUGGGCGUAAAGCGUCCGCAGGUGGCUUUGUAAGUCUGCCGUUAAAGCGUGGAGCUUAACUCCAUUUCAGCGGUGGAAACUACAAGGCUUGAGUGUGGUAGGGGCAGAGGGAAUUCCCGGUGUAGCGGUGAAAUGCGUAGAUAUCGGGAAGAACACCAGUGGCGAAGGCGCUCUGCUGGGCCAUAACUGACACUCAUGGACGAAAGCCAGGGGAGCGAAAGGGAUUAGAUACCCCUGUAGUCCUGGCCGUAAACGAUGAACACUAGGCGUCGGGGGAAUCGACCCCCUCGGUGUCGUAGCCAACGCGUUAAGUGUUCCGCCUGGGGAGUACGCACGCAAGUGUGAAACUCAAAGGAAUUGACGGGGGCCCGCACAAGCGGUGGAGUAUGUGGUUUAAUUCGAUGCAACGCGAAGAACCUUACCAGGGUUUGACAUCCUGCGGACCCCUGAGAAAUCGGGGGGUGCCUUCGGUAACGCAGUGACAGGUGGUGCAUGGCUGUCGUCAGCUCGUGUCGUGAGAUGUUGGGUUAAGUCCCGCAACGAGCGCAACCCACGUCUUUAGUUGCCAGCAUUCAGUUGGGCACUCUAGAGAGACCGCCGGUGAUAAACCGGAGGAAGGUGUGGAUGACGUCAAGUCAUCAUGCCCCUUACAUCCUGGGCUACACACGUACUACAAUGCUACGGACAAAGGGCAGCGAACUCGCGAGAGCAAGCAAAUCCCAUAAACCGUGGCUCAGUUCAGAUCGUAGGCUGCAACUCGCCUACGUGAAGGAGGAAUCGCUAGUAAUCGCAGGUCAGCAUACUGCGGUGAAUACGUUCCCGGGCCUUGUACACACCGCCCGUCACACCAUGGAAGUUAGCCACGCCCGAAGUCGUUACUCCAACCCUUGUGGAGGAGGAUGCCGAAGGUGGGGCUGAUGACUGGGGUGAAGUCGUAACAAGGUAGCCGUACCGGAAGGUGCGGCUG
Molecule: ribosomal RNA, 1262 nt
Filed under: metagenome
Description: bacterial SSU rRNA
Rfam family: Bacterial small subunit ribosomal RNA
Source: RNAcentral